UGUGUUUGGUCGAUUAAAAACGCAGGGAACGAGCAGGAGCUUCACCAAAACCCUAACUCUCACUAAAUCAAUCAAUUGAAGGCUCUAAUCUGGUCCAAAUCGAAAUCCGAGCACGUAUUAGUGAUCCCCACUGAAAAAGGAGUCACAAGUUUGACUCUAAACAAGCUAGGUGGGAGCUUGGAAAGGAACGGGUCAAACGAAUGAUGGAUGCGAAGGAUGUUUGCGCGAGCGCGAGGUAAGUAAAGCUUACACUUUUUUUUAUACGUAUUUACUUUAUAGAUUAUAGACACGACCAAGGUUAUAUCCGAAAUAUGGGUUCCGACACGAAAUGAUACGGGCCAGGAAGAAUAAAAGGAUAAAAAACCAUGUUUAAUGACAAAAAGGGGCGAAAUGGGUUAAAUAAUGAAAUGGUAAAUAAAUACCAUUCAAAUAUAAGUGCAAAAUGUUGGUCGUUUAGACUAAACAGGUCAAAUGGUAAUGUUAACACCUUUUGACGAAUAACGACUAACAAGUGCAUGUCAAGUCUAAUGCUCACAGGGUAAAACGGCUUAUGGAAUUUACGUGGCUAUGAAUCAGCAAAUUAUUAAGGCAAGGUAUUAAAACGGGUCAAUACUUUGACCCGCGCCAGGUACAUUUUGGAUGCCGGAAGACGAUCAAGCUCGACGAAGGACCGAACACGAUAUAGAUACAUGCUUCCGCACUCUAACACAUUGCAAAUGUUUAACAACGAAUUCAACCACGUUAUGUAGAAUAACUUAUGAAUUGUAAAAGUUUUAAUAAAUUCGUAUUUUUAUAGUAUGUGUAGGCUUAA
This is a long non-coding RNA of Helianthus annuus (common sunflower), 811 nucleotides long. RefSeq lists it as uncharacterized. The record is from RefSeq and is a predicted model, not a curated record. The transcript is spliced from 3 exons. NCBI's taxonomy places the organism in Eukaryota, Viridiplantae, Streptophyta, Magnoliopsida, Asterales, Asteraceae.